UGAUGACGUCAGGAACUCUGGAACUACAGU
This 30-nucleotide non-coding RNA is filed under the name Mus musculus (house mouse). The record is from RNAcentral. Lineage: Eukaryota; Metazoa; Chordata; Mammalia; Rodentia; Muridae.